CGAAGAAGUAAGCUUGCUUACUUCUUAGUGGCGAACGGGUGAGUAAUACAUAAGCAAUCUGCCCAUAUGCCUGGGAUAACCGUUGGAAACGAUGGCUAAUACCGGAUAGGUGAAUUGAAGGCAUCUUUGAUUCAUUAAAGUUGGGAUACAACACAUAUGGAUGAGCUUAUGGCGCAUUAGCUAGUUGGUGAGGUAACGGCUCACCAAGGCGAUGAUGCGUAGCCGACCUGAGAGGGUGACCGGCCACACUGGGACUGAGACACGGCCCAGACUCCUACGGGAGGCAGCAGUAGGGAAUUUUCGGCAAUGGGGGAAACCCUGACCGAGCAACGCCGCGUGAGUGAAGAAGGCCUUCGGGUUGUAAAGCUCUGUUGUAAGGGAAGAAGAGAUCAUAGAGGGAAUGCUAUGAUUGUGACGGUACCUUACCAGAAAGCCACGGCUAACUACGUGCCAGCAGC
RNAcentral lists this ribosomal RNA (458 nucleotides) under uncultured bacterium. Its description in RNAcentral is "bacterial SSU rRNA". It matches the Rfam family "Bacterial small subunit ribosomal RNA", at positions 67 to 515 of the family's 1533-position model. The record is from RNAcentral.